CUACGGGUUGCUGCAGUGAGGAAUUUUGCGCAAUGGGGGAAACCCUGACGCAGCAACGCCGCGUGAGCGAAGAAGGCCCUCGGGUCGUAAAGCUCUGUCAAGUGGGAAAAAAAUCUUUUGAUCAAUAGUCAAAAGACUUGAUGGUACCACUGGAGGAAGCACCGGCUAACUCCGUGCCAGCAGCCGCGGUAAUACGGAGGGUGCAAGCGUUGUUCGGAUUUACUGGGCGUAAAGAGCGUGUAGGCGGUUUAGCAAGUCAGAUGUGAAAGCCCGGGGCUCAACCCGGGAAGUGCAUUUGGAACUGCUUCACUAGAGUAUGGGAGAGGAGAUUGGAAUUCCUGGGGUAGAGGUGAAAUGCGUAGAUAUCAGGAGGAACACCCGUGGCGAAGGCGAUUCUCUGGACCAAUACUGACGCUGAGACGCGAAAGCGUGGGGAGCAAACAGGAUUAGAUACCCCCGUAGUC
RNAcentral lists this ribosomal RNA (464 nucleotides) under uncultured bacterium. RNAcentral describes it as "partial 16S ribosomal RNA". It matches the Rfam family "Bacterial small subunit ribosomal RNA", at positions 339 to 795 of the family's 1533-position model. The record is from RNAcentral.